UCGAGAGUUUGAUCCUGGCUCAGGAUGAACGCUAGCGGCAGGCUUAACACAUGCAAGUCGAGGGGUAUAGUUCUUCGGAACUAGAGACCGGCGCACGGGUGCGUAACGCGUAUGCAAUCUACCUUUUACAGAGGGAUAGCCCAGAGAAAUUUGGAUUAAUACCUCAUAGUAUGUGAGAAUCGCAUGGUUUUCACAUUAAAGUUCCAAACGGUAAAAGAUGAGCAUGCGUCCCAUUAGCUAGAUGGUAAGGUAA
RNAcentral lists this ribosomal RNA (253 nucleotides) under uncultured Flavobacterium sp. RNAcentral describes it as "partial 16S ribosomal RNA". It matches the Rfam family "Bacterial small subunit ribosomal RNA", at positions 1 to 260 of the family's 1533-position model. Lineage: Bacteria; Pseudomonadati; Bacteroidota; Flavobacteriia; Flavobacteriales; Flavobacteriaceae. The record is from RNAcentral.